Chlorocebus sabaeus (green monkey) is the source of this 222-nucleotide regulatory RNA element. It matches the Rfam family "Mason-Pfizer monkey virus packaging signal". From Rfam's summary of the family: The packaging signal is located in the 5' UTR and is required for specific RNA encapsidation. Lineage: Eukaryota; Metazoa; Chordata; Mammalia; Primates; Cercopithecidae. The record is from Rfam.
UGGCGCCCGAACAGGGACCUGGAAACGAGGGACUCCGUGAGGAAGAGGACGCCAAAGGACGGUCGACCGCUAACGAACACAAAAGAAAGUGAACUCUUCCGAUCACCGCGGGAACCUGCCGCGUCAGAAUCGAAGGUAAGUGACGCGUCCGAAAUGGGACAAGAAUUAAGCCAACAUCAGAUCUAUNNNNNNNNNNUGAGGAAGAGGACGCCAAAGGACGGU